Thunnus maccoyii (southern bluefin tuna) is the source of this 554-nucleotide long non-coding RNA. RefSeq lists it as uncharacterized. NCBI's taxonomy places the organism in Eukaryota, Metazoa, Chordata, Actinopteri, Scombriformes, Scombridae. The transcript has 3 exons. The record is from RefSeq and is a predicted model, not a curated record.
GGAUAUUUUAGCUGCAUCUUUGCUCUUGUCUUCUUUCUUCUUCCCAAACCUGGAACAAGAAGCACAAAAAAGGGACACGGAUGCAACAUGCAAAGCACUUCUCAUUACUGCUACAGGCAGAUACGUGGCCUGAAUGGUAACCCGCUGGCCUGGCCAAAAGUGGCGCUCAGCAUCAGAGCCGCAGUGAAACCUGGACAGGAUUGUCAUUUUGGCCUGGCACCAUCCUGCAAACCAAUUACUGUGGUUUUAAGGUGAUGUCACUGCCCCCGUUGCUGUGAUAUUUUUCCACAUCACUUCCUGGAGAUCACUUGUCACAGAGACAGUGUGGGCAAUGCCGCAGCAAGCAUCUUUUUUCUGAAGUUUUUUUUUUUUUUUCUUUUUCUUGGAACUAUUUUGAUGUUCUGAGCAAUCCCACAUCAUGCCAGUGCCAAAAGCAGACUACCAAUUACCUCAGCGAGAACUGUACAGAAUGUUGUAUUGUUGCAAAAGGAAUAUCAACACUAUUCAUCUUAGUUUGCAUCAAUAGAUAUAUAAUUAUAUUACACAUAAAUAUA